GACGAACGCUGGCGGCGUGCUUAACACAUGCAAGUCGAACGAGCGGCGGACGGGUGAGUAAUGUAUGGGGAUCUGCCUGAUGGCGGGGGAUAACUACUGGAAACGGUAGCUAAUACCGCAUACCAUCAGAUGAACCCAUAUGGGAUUAGCUAGUAGGUAAGGUAACGGCUUACCUAGGCGACGAUCCCUAGCUGGUCUGAGAGGAUGAUCAGCCACACUGGGACUGAGACACGGCCCAGACUCCUACGGGAGGCAGCAGUGGGGAAUAUUGCACAAUGGGCGCAAGCCUGAUGCAGCCAUGCCGCGUGUAUGAAGAAGGCCUUCGGGUUGUAAAGUACUUUCAGUCGGGAGGCGUUACCGACAGAAGAAGCACCGGCUAACUCCGUGCCAGCAGCCGCGGUAAUAC
RNAcentral lists this ribosomal RNA (406 nucleotides) under uncultured bacterium. RNAcentral describes it as "partial 16S ribosomal RNA". It matches the Rfam family "Bacterial small subunit ribosomal RNA", at positions 28 to 526 of the family's 1533-position model. The record is from RNAcentral.